This 630-nucleotide ribosomal RNA is filed under the name Trichoderma erinaceum. Its description in RNAcentral is "eukaryotic LSU rRNA". The stretch from base 241 to 394 matches the Rfam family "5.8S ribosomal RNA". The record is from RNAcentral. Lineage: Eukaryota; Fungi; Ascomycota; Sordariomycetes; Hypocreales; Hypocreaceae.
UGGAAGUAAAAGUCGUAACAAGGUCUCCGUUGGUGAACCAGCGGAGGGAUCAUUACCGAGUUUACAACUCCCAAACCCAAUGUGAACCAUACCAAACUGUUGCCUCGGCGGGGUCACGCCCCGGGUGCGUCGCAGCCCCGGAACCAGGCGCCCGCCGGAGGGACCAACCAAACUCUUUACUGUAGUCCCCUCGCGGACGUUAUUUCUUACAGCUCUGAGCAAAAAUUCAAAAUGAAUCAAAACUUUCAACAACGGAUCUCUUGGUUCUGGCAUCGAUGAAGAACGCAGCGAAAUGCGAUAAGUAAUGUGAAUUGCAGAAUUCAGUGAAUCAUCGAAUCUUUGAACGCACAUUGCGCCCGCCAGUAUUCUGGCGGGCAUGCCUGUCCGAGCGUCAUUUCAACCCUCGAACCCCUCCGGGGGGUCGGCGUUGGGGAUCGGGAACCCCUCAGACGGGAUCCCGGCCCCGAAAUACAGUGGCGGUCUCGCCGCAGCCUCUCCUGCGCAGUAGUUUGCACAACUCGCACCGGGAGCGCGGCGCGUCCACGUCCGUAAAACACCCAACUUCUGAAAUGUUGACCUCGGAUCAGGUAGGAAUACCCGCUGAACUUAAGCAUAUCAAUAAGCGGAGGA